UCCGGCCUGGCCAGGUAGGCGGGGCCGCUGUUGUAGAUGGCGAGCGCGGUGGUCUCGGUCAUGCCGUACCCGUUGGACGCCUGCCGCCGGGGC
Molecule: transfer RNA, 93 nt
Filed under: Sphaerisporangium krabiense
Lineage: Bacteria; Bacillati; Actinomycetota; Actinomycetes; Streptosporangiales; Streptosporangiaceae
Description: tRNA-Tyr
Source: RNAcentral